RNAcentral lists this ribosomal RNA (1326 nucleotides) under metagenome. Its description in RNAcentral is "bacterial SSU rRNA". It matches the Rfam family "Bacterial small subunit ribosomal RNA", at positions 8 to 1289 of the family's 1533-position model. The record is from RNAcentral.
AGAGUUUGAUUCUGGCUCAGAACGAACGCUGGCAGCGUGGAUUAGGCAUGCAAGUCGAACGUGAAGCCGAUGAACAAUCUUUCGGGAGAGUGAUUCGGUGGAAAGUGGCGAAAGGGUGAGUAACGCGUGGGUGAGCUAUCUCAAAGUUGGGGACAACCAGAUGAAAAUCUGGCUAAUACCGAAUGUGGUCUUCUGGCGCAUGUCAGAGUGACUAAAGGCGGGGAUUCUUCGGAACCUGCCGCUUUGUGAGGUGCCCGCGUGCCAUCAGCUUGUUGGUAGGGUAAUGGCCUACCAAGGCUUACGGCUAGCCGGCCUGAGAGGGUGAUCGGCCACACUGGGACUGGGACACUGCCCAGACUCCUACGGGAGGCUGCAGUCGAGGAUCAUUCGCAAUGCGCGAAAGCGUGACGAUGCGACGCUGCGUGGGGGAUGAAGGCCUUCGGGUCGUAAACUCCUGUCAUGAGGGAAAAGUAUCCCUGCAAUUAAUAGUUGUGGGGCUCGAUGGUACCUCAAGAGGAAGCCACGGCUAACUCUGUGCCAGCAGCCGCGGUAAUACAGAGGUGGCGAGCGUUGUUCGGAUUUACUGGGCGUAAAGGGUGCGUAGGUGGUUUUGUGUGUCGGAUGUGAAAUCCCAUGGCUCAACUGUGGAAUUGCAUUUCGAAACUGCGGAACUAGAGUGCAGGAUGGGAGAGCGGAAUUCUUGGUGUAGCGGUGAAAUGCGUUGAUAUCAAGAAGAACACCGGUGGCGAAGGCGGCUCUCUGGAAUGCUACUGACACUGAGGCACGAAAGCUGGGGGAGCGAACAGGAUUAGAUACCCUGGUAGUCCCAGCCGUAAACGGUGCACACUUGGUGUGGGGAGAUUUAACCCUCUCCGUGCCGGAGCUAACGCGUUAAGUGUGCCGCCUGGGGAGUACGGCCGCAAGGCUAAAACUCAAAGAAAUUGACGGGGGCCCGCACAAGCGGAGGAGCAUGUGGCUUAAUUCGAUUCAACGCGAAGAACCUUACCAGGGCUUGACAUAUACCUGCACGCCCCGUGAAAGCGGGGAAGCUUUCGAAGGUGGUAUACAGGUGCUGCAUGGCUGUCGUCAGUUCGUGCCGUGAGGUGUUGGGUUAAGUCCCGUAACGAACGCAACCCUUGUGGCUAGUUGCCACCGGCGGUGAUGAGCCGCCGAGCACUCUAGCCAGACUGCCCGUACAAGCGGGAGGAAGGUGGGGAUGACGUCAAGUCAGUAUGGCCCUUACGCCCUGGGCUGCACACGUGCUACAAUGGUCGGUACAAUGGGAUGCAAUACCGCGAGGUGGAGCCAAUCCCCAAAGCCGCCCUC